This 383-nucleotide ribosomal RNA is filed under the name uncultured eukaryote. RNAcentral describes it as "partial 18S ribosomal RNA". It matches the Rfam family "Eukaryotic small subunit ribosomal RNA", at positions 592 to 976 of the family's 1831-position model. The record is from RNAcentral.
CAAUAGCGUAUAUUAAAGUUGUUGCAGUUAAAAAGCUCGUAGUUGGAUUUCUGGUGGGAGCGAUCGGUCUGGCGCUUAGCGCGAGUACUUGCAUCGUCUCCGGCCAUCCUUGGGGAGAGUCUGUCUGGCAUUAGGUUGUCGGGCAGAGGAUCCUCAUCGUUUACUGUGAAAAAAUUAGAGUGUUCAAAGCAGGCUUAUGCCGUUGAAUAUAUUAGCAUGGAAUAAUAAGAUAGGACUUUGGUACUAUUUUGUUGGUUUGCGCACCAAAGUAAUGAUUAAUAGGGACAGUUGGGGGUAUUCGUAUUCCGUUGUCAGAGGUGAAAUUCUUGGAUUUACGGAAGACGAACUACUGCGAAAGCAUUUACCAAGGAUGUGUUCAUUAA